This 37522-nucleotide long non-coding RNA is filed under the name Phoenix dactylifera (date palm). RNAcentral's name for it is "long non-coding RNA (PDAC_LNC002610)". The record is from RNAcentral. Lineage: Eukaryota; Viridiplantae; Streptophyta; Magnoliopsida; Arecales; Arecaceae.
UUGAGAUUUGUGCCAAAAAAAACACCUAUGCAGUAGUAAGAACCAAAUUGUUGUAUGCAUCAAAAUGUUAGGCUACGAAUAAGAGACAAGCACAGAAGAUGAGCACCAAAAAUUGUAAAAUGGUAAGUACAAUAUGUAGCGACGUGCUGACGUAAGGUGUUAGACAUGAUGCAUUUGUAAAGGUGACUUGUGACAAUUAAGGAAAAUGCGGAGCUACAGUGAGUAAAAAUGCAUCCGAAUGAGAAAUGAAUACCAAGGGCAUGUGGCUCAGUUUUUACAUUAAAGGACAGAGAGACUGGCAUUGACAGUGUAUGCAGUCCCUUAUAAGUAUGGGUGAAGAAGAACUCAUAGAGCCACCAUGGUAGUUAGGAUAAGUCUAGUUUGGUCAUGAAUUUUUUACAUGAUUAAUAGAGAUAAUUAAGAAAGAUUCAGAAUAAUGCAUUUCUCACUUCACCAACUAAAUAAUAUAUGAGAAAGGAAAGCAUUAUAUUUGAAUUGUAACAAAUACCUAUAGUCGAUCGGAAGACGAUCAUCCAUCAUUUCUCAAAGCAACAACCCAUCAGUUAGAAAUAUGAUGUUGCUCACAUAGCAAUAAUACAUAUGGAGAGAGAAAAGCAAACUAGGAGAAACUUCCUCGUCAACCAUACCCCAAGUGAACAAGAAAGCUAACAACCUUGUGUCCAUUAGAAUAGUCUAAUAAUAAUACAACCUAGAUGCUGCUGAAUUUCAAGCAAUAUUCAACUAAAGAUUCCAAUGGCCAGAAAAGGAAAGAGGCCAUACCAGAUCUGUUUGAUGUUGCAAAUGAAUAGUGCUAUAUCCAACCCUUUCACCAAGUUUGAUACCCAUCUAUUCAGCUAGUAGUGAGGAAACAGACUGUGAAAGAACACUACCUUAUAGUAUAAAAAGAAUUGCCAUAAGAUACAGCAAAUCAAAGUAUGCUAUAGCAUCAAUUACCUGCUCAUGUCUUGAAUCUAGAGUUUUGAUGUUAAUUUCAACUACUAAGAUUUGAUGGUCAAAAGGGUAAAUAACAUGCAAGACUAGAGAAACUGAAAAAAAAUAUAAUGGCAUGCAGUUUUCGUGGCAAAGGUAGGAUUUCAGCAAUAUAUCACUCACAGAGCCAGAAGCCAAGAGAUUCUUUCUUCAGGCACUAGAAGUUAGAAAGCUUAGAAGUUAUGCAAGCUAAUACCUUGAAUCAAGUUUCACCGUACCGGAUCCGGUAGGCGUACCGGUCGCCUACCAGACCGGUAUGGUUCCGAUUCGUUCCGGAACCGGCCGGUACGAACCGGCCAGCUUUUUUCCGUCGGAGCCGGAGAAGAAGAAGAGAAGGAGAGAGAGCGCGGGGAAGAGAGGGAGGGAGGAGACCCGUGGCUGCCAUUGGAGAGCCGCAGAGGGGAGGCGGAGGCCGGAGAAGGGCGGCGGAGCCCGCAGGGGUGCGGGGGAACCCGCGGGGGCGCGGCGGAGGCCGAGGCCGCGGCCGCGUCCCUGCCCCUCGCAGGCUCCGCCACCCCUCCGCGGCUCUCCAAUGGCGGCUACGGGUCUCCUCCUUCCCUCUCUUCCCCGCGCUCUCUCUCCUUCUCUUCGUCUUCUUCGUCUCCGGCACAGAACCAGCCCGUACCGGUUUCCACUGCUCCGGUAUACCGGUUACAAAUAGAGCUGUUAACGGGCCGAGUUGCUCGGGCUCGGCUUGGUAAAAGCUCGGUUCGUUAGUCAAACGAGCCCGAGCCCGAGCCCGAGCUCAAAAUGAGGCCUGUUUAAAUUCGAGCUCGAGCCCGAGCAGCUCAUGAGCCCAAAUGAGCUCGUGACUUAACGCAACCAAAUGAGCUUGGAAUUCGACAGUCGAGAUCAUUUGGAAAUCCUGCAUCCAACGGGCCAAGGCCCUCCUCUCCAGCUCUCCUAGUCUCCUAAACGGCUAAACCUCCUCUCUAGCUCUUAGUCUCCUACUUGGUACAAUUUGUAAAAUAUUAAUAUCAAUUUGGCCAAUAGUUUAAGUUUUUAUGCUGUCAGCAAAUAACAAAUGCUAAACCUCCUCUCCUAAAAGGGAACCUCGGGUAGGAGCUAAUCGCUGCCGCGUCUAGCCCGGUGGGUGCGGAGCCCCGACUGCCCUCCUCGCCAUUGUUGUCCUCGUCGUCCUCCUCCUCCUCUGCGACGAAGAUUAUGCCGGGCAGCACGACGCCGUUGGAGUUGCCGCCGGCGCCGCCACCGUUAGGAUUAGGAUUCGUGCUUCGGGCGCGGGCGCGGCAGCGGACGUAGGAGGCGAGGAGGACGGUGGAGAGGAGGACAAGGACGCCGAGGGCGGCGGCGAUGGCAUAGCCGAGGCCGAGGUUACUGAGGUUCUGGAGGAAGAAGGAGGAUGAGGAGGUCGGAGGGGAGGCGUGGCGUUGUCAUCGGCGGUGGCGGCGGCGGAGGAGGGGGAGAAGGACAUUUUGGGAAGAGGAGGGGGAGAAGAAGGGGGUUUUGUAGCAUGACAGAGAGAAGCGUGGGCGAAACAGCGGAAUUUUUUUUUGUGGGAGAAGCAUGACUCAUCACGUCAUUGAUGCUCCUUCUCUCUUUCCCCCUUGAGUGAAAGCCAACGGCAGAUCGAUGAGUUCGCUUAUGAAUUUUGAGGAUUCAUAUGGGAGCCCGAGCCCGGGCUUGGGCCCGAGCCUGAGGCCGACUGAGCUCGGGCUUGAGCUCGUAAUUGAAACGGGCUUUACGAGCUCAAGCCCGAGCCUUUGCUUCACCAAGCAAGCCCGAGCUCGAGCCCAAUACAGAGCUCAGUACCGAGCCUGAGCCCAAGCCUGAGCCCGAACCCAAGCUUCUUGUAAUAACCCCAAAAUUUUUUUUUUAUAAAAAGGGAUAGAAUAGUCCUUUAAAAUUGAUAUAAGGGGUAAAAUUGGAAGGAAUCAAAAGAUAAUGGCAUAGUUGUNNNNNNNNNNNNNNNNNNNNNNNNNNNNNNNNNNNNNNNNNNNNNNNNNNNNNNNNNNNNNNNNNNNNNNNNNNNNNNNNNNNNNNNNNNNNNNNNNNNNNNNNNNNNNNNNNNNNNNNNNNNNNNNNNNNNNNNNNNNNNNNNNNNNNNNNNNNNNNNNNNNNNNNNNNNNNNNNNNNNNNNNNNNNNNNNNNNNNNNNNNNNNNNNNNNNNNNNNNNNNNNNNNNNNNNNNNNNNNNNNNNNNNNNNNNNNNNNNNNNNNNNNNNNNNNNNNNNNNNNNNNNNNNNNNNNNNNNNNNNNNNNNNNNNNNNNNNNNNNNNNNNNNNNNNNNNNNNNNNNNNNNNNNNNNNNNNNNNNNNNNNNNNNNNNNNNNNNNNNNNNNNNNNNNNNNNNNNNNNNNNNNNNNNNNNNNNNNNNNNNNNNNNNNNNNNNNNNNNNNNNNNNNNNNNNNNNNNNNNNNNNNNNNNNNNNNNNNNNNNNNNNNNNNNNNNNNNNNNNNNNNNNNNNNNNNNNNNNNNNNNNNNNNNNNNNNNNNNNNNNNNNNNNNNNNNNNNNNNNNNNNNNNNNNNNNNNNNNNNNNNNNNNNNNNNNNNNNNNNNNNNNNNNNNNNNNNNNNNNNNNNNNNNNNNNNNNNNNNNNNNNNNNNNNNNNNNNNNNNNNNNNNNNNNNNNNNNNNNNNNNNNNNNNNNNNNNNNNNNNNNNNNNNNNNNNNNNNNNNNNNNNNNNNNNNNNNNNNNNNNNNNNNNNNNNNNNNNNNNNNNNNNNNNNNNNNNNNNNNNNNNNNNNNNNNNNNNNNNNNNNNNNNNNNNNNNNNNNNNNNNNNNNNNNNNNNNNNNNNNNNNNNNNNNNNNNNNNNNNNNNNNNNNNNNNNNNNNNNNNNNNNNNNNNNNNNNNNNNNNNNNNNNNNNNNNNNNNNNNNNNNNNNNNNNNNNNNNNNNNNNNNNNNNNNNNNNNNNNNNNNNNNNNNNNNNNNNNNNNNNNNNNNNNNNNNNNNNNNNNNNNNNNNNNNNNNNNNNNNNNNNNNNNNNNNNNNNNNNNNNNNNNNNNNNNNNNNNNNNNNNNNNNNNNNNNNNNNNNNNNNNNNNNNNNNNNNNNNNNNNNNNNCUCACUUCUUGAAGAGGGUAGCGGAAGUAUAAGGAAAAAAAGCAAGAAUAAAAUUCUUCGCGAGGCUAUCAAGGAUUCCAAACCUGUGGUACUUGGGUGGUCGACAGUCGUACACCGGCAGCCUCUGCCGCUGCCUCCCCGAUUUUGAUCCAAGAAUCCUCCGAGCGUUACGGUUUUGAGGGUUUUGAUCGAAGGGGAAGAAGCCAUGGAGAAAAGGUGCGAACGUAGAGAUUGGAGAACCCAGGUUGGCUAUUUACAGGGUUAAGUCGGCCAGCCGAUUGCCGACAUACUGAGGCCGGGUUCAAGUUUGUGGACCGAUCUGAACCGGCUCCGGCCUGGCUUUUCGGGUCUACGUGAAAUCCGGAGUACCCGGUUAUAAUGUCAGUGUAACCGGUUAAGAUUCGCUGUAGAGAAGGGACAGCAGAGAGGAAACUAGGCCCUGUUUGGUCUCCAAAUGAGUUUAUGCGGCUUUUUAAAUAAUUCUAUUUUUUCUUGAAAAUUAUUUAUAAUUAAUGAGAUAAAACUAUUUGAUCCCCCUGCUUUAACCCACCAAUUUUGAACCCAGGCUCAGCCUGAUUGCAGAAGACUAGAACCCAGCUGAAGGCAAUUUGGUCGAAACAUAAUAAUCUUCCUAGAUUGGUUUACUCUAAUUAAUAUCUUGUGUGGCUGAUUUAGAGACCAAUCUAGCAUGACAACUAAUAAUGUUCUUAGGAUUUAGGAAAUAGUUGAUAACUUCAGUUGAAUCAAAAUUUAAAUUUGAAAUACUUACCAUAUAUGAUUUGCAAAAAAUAUGGCUUUCUAUGUAAAUGAGUCCAGUUACAUUUUGUUUUCUUUUUUCAUCAAUAGGGUCCAGUUAGAAAGGCUACAGAGUGGGACUACAGAAGCUUGUUUCUAUAAUACUAGCAGGCGAGGAAUAAGAGAGAAUAAAAAUUAAAUAAAUCAAAUGACUUCUCCCUCAAUUGCUGCUCCAGUUUUGUGCUACAUAUAGGAGUCAAAGUUUAAAGCCUUGUCAUGGCUUAGCUAUCUGAUAAUGCAAAAAGCUUAAUGCCUUAAGAAGGUAAUAUUUUUCUCCUUUUCCAAGAGCCAGUUUCAGGCUUGUUUAGAUGAGUUUCUGCUUACAUGGUUAAUGUGUACCUGCUAGAGAUUGGAGACUAACUUGAAUUUGAUGUGAAAUGGAUGGACUCUCAUCUUCACCUACACAUCUUGCCUCACCUCAUUUUCCAGCCUUGAAGAAAAUGACCCAGGGAAAUCNNNNNNNNNNNNNNNNNNNNNNNNNNNNNNNNNNNNNNNNNNNNNNNNNNNNNNNNNNNNNNNNNNNNNNNNNNNNNNNNNNNNNNNNNNNNNNNNNNNNNNNNNNNNNNNNNNNNNNNNNNNNNNNNNNNNNNNNNNNNNNNNNNNNNNNNNNNNNNNNNNNNNNNNNNNNNNNNNNNNNNNNNNNNNNNNNNNNNNNNNNGCCCCAGGGAAAUCUUGUUCUCGAAUUGACUAUUGUUAUUCUACUCAAGUAGUUUCCUCAUUGAAUGACUUCAUUAAACUUAGAAUAAGAUGAUCUUGAUCUGAAAAUGUUAAACCCCCUCCAAAAAAAAUCUCAUUUUUGUAGUUUUUCCUUCCUAAAUGCUUAUAAAGUACUAUCACUUGAUCUCCUGAAUGAAAUUUGGGCUCCAACCCUAUUUGUAGUUUUUCAUUUUGCUUGAUUCGGAAUUGAGACCGUUGAUUCAUGAUUCACAAUUCACACCUUUUGACUGAACUAACUUGAUAGUGCUAAGGUUGAGAAUUGGUUGACCAUCACGUAUUAACACGAUACAGUCAUGUUAAGAUUUGUGGAGAUUUAGCAGAUAGAUAUUUGCUUGAAGCCAUACAUUAAACAAUUACUGGGGAGAGAAUACAAUAAGAUAAAUGAAAUAGUCUUUUUCUGCAAAUUUGCAUGUCAUAUAUGAGUUAUGAAUUGUGGAUUCUUGCAAAAUGGAUUUUUAUCUUUUCACAUGUGGAGAUAAUUAUCUUUGAAUGGACUAGGCAAUAUUAUUCGACGGAUGCAGCUUUGCUUACUACUGAUCUCAAAUAUUAUGGAGAAUGCAUGCCCACUCGCCCUAAGGCAAUAUCAAAUGGAGUAUUUCAAAGGGACAACCCACUCAUUUUUGCUCUCCCCCUCGCUAUCUACCAAAUAUCUUUCUUGAAAUAUAGCAUAGAUUAUUUUAAACACCUCUCUCUGUUCCUCUCCAAACAACUCUUUAAAGUAACUCAUAUGGCAACUCACAAAACCCUAAACCCUAAACCGCAACAACUCCAAAAACCCUAAAUCUUAAAAAUCUAAACUCUAAACCCUACAUGGCUACAUCCAAGCCUUCCAUAGGUAAUCUCAUUUUGGUAGAUUAAACUGAAGGUGCAGCAGCACCGGAUCCGAUGACUGAAAGAAGCGAGUGCACCGAACGAGGACCAUUAGGAGUCUUAACGUCCCCAAGCUUUUCUACUCCAGCCUCACUCAUAGUUGUGAGACCAAACACAGGCCAAAAAUUGAACUCAAACCAGUUGCACUGUUUCCAACCAACUUUCAAAUUUUAUUUAUAAAUAUUAUUUUCUUGGAGUUCUCAUAAGAUCUGUUCAGAUAUCUAAAUAAUUAGCAAUUACAAGAUUGACUGAGAAACCAGACAGGAUUGAUAUGAGUAUCGAAGUUAUUGCAUGGCCUGAAUGAGCAAUUUUUAGUAACACAUGAUCCAUGAACGCUGGAAAUAUUCAUGGCUGUGUCAUAGACAUCCACAAGCAUUGUCCCAUUAGCAGCAGCAACUAAAACAUCCAAUAAACCACCUACCGUUACAAACAUAUCCUCAAAUCAGCAAUUUCCUCAAUUUAAACCUAAUUUAUAGUUAUAACCAGGAUUAUCCAUAUACCCUGCUGCCACAUUACAAACUUACGAGCCCGGAAUAUAUUUAUGCUAUCAACUCAAAAAAUAAUCAUUUGCUAUGUAGAAAUAGAAGUUAAUAUGAUACUUUAGAUAAUGCAGGUAUUAGGCAUCACGAAACCUAGAACUAGAACCCACUUUUAGAGCAAAAAGAUAACCACAUUCCUUGGCAAAUCACUAACUUCAGUUAAGAAUUGGCUUCCCUGUGACAUUAAUCUAAUUGCAAAUUCCAAGUUCAGCAAACUUGCUUUUUCGUCAGAUCUCAUGUUACAUGCAAAAUUAGUGGAAAAGGUCACCUUUACUCCAAAUAGGAACCUGCGAACUUGAAAUGCAGAAAGGAAACUACUAGUACAAAGAGACUCCUGCAUCGUAACUCUUUUGUUUCUCAAAAUAAAGGGAUACACGAAGCAUAUUCCACAGGACAAGCAUAGUUGCAACUUAUAACUCCAGCAAGCUAAGUUCGUUUGUUCAGAUCUCACAUUACAUGCAAAAUUAGCUAAAGUGAUCAGUUUGAUUCCAAGUAGUCGUAAUGUACAUAUCCAAAAUGCCAAAAAGAAAAAGAUAAAGACCUCUACAUUGAAACAGUUUCAUCUCUUGCCAUAUAGAUACGCAUAGCACACGCAUACUCGUACAUAGUUACAACCUUCUCGGUCAUUCUCCACAUGGAUUUUUAGCAUGCAACUUUACGGGGAGAAGACUUGCCUGGUUUGUGUCGUCUAACCUUCACCCUCUUCUUCUGUGUCAACUUCUUCUCCAAGUCCUUGACUCUCCCAUUAAGAUCAGAAAUAACCCCUAACUGCACUUUUCCUGCAAGAAGCAACUUUUCUAACAUCUCCCUUAGCUUCUCAUUUUCUUCCAUCAGCUGCUUCUCCUCCAUGCUCAUAUUGGUACUUGAAAUUGGUCCAGCCAUUGGAAUGGAAUCUUUAGGUUGAACCACAGCAAUUCCCUCUUCUUUUGGAGCUGGAGUGCUUGCUUCAUCAGGAGCUGCUUCUACAAGAGACAUAUGAGAGGACUCUCUAUGGAGAAUUUGCUCAAGGGAUGAAGUUGUAUCCUUAUCCAUAGUCGCUUCCUGUAGAGUUUCAGGUGCUGAAGGCAUGUCUGUAUCUUCAAGGACCUUAUUAGCAGCAGCCAGUUUAGUUCCAUUCUCCAUGCCAGACUCAGAAGAUCUAACUUGUACUGCAAUUUGGUCCUCUGGCAUCUCUAGGUUCUUUUCUACCACGCUGCGAACAUCGUUACCCUCUUCAGAAGCCAGCGUAACAGGUCUUGCACACGUAGCUUCCAUGUUUAUAGUAUCAGCAGCUGCAUCUCCUAUUGCCUUCUCUGCGAAACAAUUUUCCUCUUCCGCUAGCAACAUGUGAGGCUCCUCCUCUUUGGUUUCAGCUUGACUGAACCGAGCACCAGGUGCCUUGGCAAAAUUAGAUUCACUGACUCCUGGUAUAGUUUCCAGAAAAUCUACUGCAUUGGUGACAUGCAAAGUGCUCGGAACUUCCACACUCUUGCUGUCAGCAGUCGCAUCUCCUGCUGUCUUCUCCUUAGAAUCACUUUCUUCUGCCAAUGGCAACAUUUGGAGCUCUUCCUGUUUUCUGUCGGCUUCACUGAUAGCAUCCUUACCCUCAAAAUUAGAUUCAGCCAUUCCUGGUAGAGGUUCUACGAACUCUACUGCAUUAGAAACAGCUUCAUGCUCUUCAACUUUGAUUUCACCGGCUCCCCCAAGGUUGCACCCCUUCAACGAUGGUACCAAACUGUUCUCCACUUCUAGAUUCACCUGUGUGUUUGGUCGAGCACCAUAAUCACAAAACUCUUUGUUCGCUGACUCAAACUCUCGACAGCUAAGCCCUUGCAUCUCUAGAUGCUCCUCCAAAUCCAACUUGGGAGCUUCAUCUUUGGCAGAAGGUACCUCCUGAACUUUCUUGAUAGUGGAUACCAAGGGCACCAAAGGUUCCUCUAACUCAAGGGAAGGCUCUUCACUGAGCAGUUUUGACCCUACCAAUGCCCCACCUUCAGAAACAGUUUGUUCCUCUCCCCGCAAAGGUGCUUCUUCAUGCUCCCCAUUCGCAACAGAAACCAUUUCUUCGUUCAACAAAUGUGCAGCCUCUCCUGGUGCAGCCUCUACCUCUUGAUUUUCUAGUGCAUCUCUUUUGUCCUCUUCCUCAGCCUCUUGCAUUUCUUCACUAGAUGUGAAAUCUGAGGUACACUUCUUAUCAGAUAGUUGUUCACAAACAUGCUCGGCCGAUGGUUCAGCCACUGCAACCGAUCUUCCAAGACAAGUGUGAUCAUCAGAAGCUUUGCUGCUAGCACUUUCUUCAAUCUUAGCUGACUCAUGAUCUGCAGUAGUUUGUCUGCUUAGAGAAUCAAGCUUCUCUUGCAGGCAAAUGAGCUCCCUUGCAACAGAUUUCCUGGCCUCCCUCACACUUUGGUGCAAGCCCUGGUAAGUUCAUGUCAACUCGGAAUUAAGACUCAAACCAUUUCCAAAACGUGAGAGAAAAAGAGAUUCAUAUUGUAGAGAAGUGCUGGUGAUGCAAGCAUAAAUAGCAAAUGCAACUAAAUGACCAACAUUAUUGAACCUCUUUUCUCACUCAAACAAAGAUUGUUUUAAUAAGAUUAUGAUCAAUUGCAACAGAAUUAACAAAAAAAAUGUUUAAAGCCCGUACCUGGAUUGUAUCCAGCUGCAAAAGCAGAUUCAUUAUAGUCUCACCGAUAACCACCUUCUGCUUCACAUCUUGUCCCUCUGAAGAGGUUUCAAAACUUUGAAUUUGUUUUUUAAUAUCUUCCACCUGUUGACGAAUUCGAGCUACCUUGCGAAGUUUCUCCAAAGGUUGCCAUCUUCUCACUUCAAACCCUCGAUAUGCAGACUGAAUAAGAACUGCUGCAUCUGAUUCUGCUAAGUUCUUUCUUUCCUUCCUGACCUCUGUCUUUGUAAUUUCUGCAUCCUCCAUGCCUCUGCUUUCCUCAAUCUUUUUCUCCUGGUCAUCAGAUAACCCACCCUCAGAGUCGUUCGCUUCUACUCCCUUAGCAUUCUCUGUAACAGCUUUCCCUGGAGCACCUUUCAUUGAAAUGAUUGGCACUGAAUCUUGGCUACUCCACGCCUCCUUCCCCACUUUGUUUGAUGUCUUCUCCUUAACAUCAACAAUCCGGAUUUCUUUCUUAGGAAUUUCCUCUUUGGCCUCCUUCCAAGUUGAGCCAUGUUCUUUAUUGUCCUGACGAGUUCUCUCUUUCUCAAUAAGGCCAGGUGGGCUAGGAGAUCGGGAUGCGCUGUUUCCAUUCUUCCUUCUUGGCAAUGGGUCCACUCUUAAACAUACAGGAGUCAACUUUGACGACUUGACAGGUGAUGAUUGUUUGCCAUCCAAAGACUUCUUCACUCCACAGUCUUCAUUUUGUUUUUCAGAGAUGAUGGACUUCUUUUCGUCACUCUUUUCAUUUUGCUUCUCGUUCCUCAUCUGACUGCUUGCUUCCAUCUGCUUAACUGGAAUGGUUUUAGUUUUGGCUUCCUUUUCACUUACUGCUUCUUGCUGUGCUCGAGUUUUAGGCUCAUCCUCUGCUACUCCUGCUUUCUCCUCCCUGUUCCCAUUCUCCAGAAAUUUCAGUGGGAUAAUCUUAAAUUUUGGUGUUUCUUCUGAAACUUUUGGACCGUUGUUGAUCUCCUUCAAAUCUUUUACAGCCUCCUCCGGUUUAUUAUAACCAGGCAUCCACAUAAUUGGCCAUGGAAACUGACUCCUCCUCUCUUCAUUCUGCGAGCCCUUCUUGUCAUCUCCAUUCUGCAUCAGACCCAUGCGGCUGUUAAUGUCCAGAGGGAUCCAUCCAUUCCAAAUUCCAGGCUGUGCCUCAGAAUUUUUGUCGGUGUCUUUCUCCUUCAAAUAAUUAUGAGGAGCCCAUGCUGGUGGAUAAAAAGGGUAGUUUGGCAAUUUAACCAGAUUGGAGGAGUCACCCUCCUUCGGCUUUGGCUCUAGAUCUGGCUUUUGUUCUUCAAUCUUCACACUAGUAGUCUCGCCCCCGCACUUAUGAUUUGGACACCCGCAGCAGUGAUUUUUAGCCUCCUCAUAAUCAUAUCGAGCUUGAUCAAAUGAAUAAUGAGGUGGUGGCAUGAAAUAGGGCGGGCAGGCAUCAGGAUAAGCUAGAUACGGUCCACUGUAGUAACAAUGAGGAGGUGGCUGAAUAUGAGGGUAUAGAGGUCUGAAACUACAAUGUCCUGGAGAGUAAAUAUGGUUGCAACAGCUAUGGCAUUCGGUUGGAUUUGGGUGGCUGGUGCUGCCAUUGUAAGGCCAUGGUCCAAAAGGUGAGGGAGGUUUUGAUGAAUCUACUCUCAUCUGAGGAGGUACAGCUUCCCAGUUUGGAUAGUAGUGAUAAGGAUAGGGAAUGCGGUGAGGAAAAUUCUGAGGGUACGGGUCCAUGUAUCUGCAAGCAGGAAACAUUUUUCCGAGAGCUACGAUAAAACUUUAACCCAAUAGGGCAGGUUCUAUGGCAGUGAGAACCUGCGGAGAUUUCUCCCUAUCUCACGGGUUAGGGACGAGAGAUCGAUCGAUAGAAUCGUCAAUUCUGCAGGAACAAGCGCAUAAAAAACAAUGAAGUAUUAGAAGCAAUACAAGAGUGCAAAAGUGAGACCUGCUAAGCAGACAGCCAACAGCAACUGAACAUUCUCUGCAGGACAGGAAUCUCAUCAAACAAAGUGAUGGAAACAAAACAAAAUAAGCAAAUUUAAAUAUUUUUUAGACUAUGUAACCAAACAUCUUCAAUUACAUCAAUUAAAGUGGAGAGUCCAUUGACGUCUUGCAAAACAGAAGGAACAGAGAUGGAAACAGACAGACAAAUCGACACAAACCUCCCUGGAAUUUUGAUAAAAUGAACAUUAAAUGGUGCUCUUCACAAGGUACGGUCUCAUACGAUGAAACCUUAGUUCAGAUGGUACUGCCUCUUGCCCUCUAAUUACGGGUAAAAGGUGAGGGUCCUGACCGUUCUAGAGAUAAAAUGGAUGGUAUCUUGAAUUAUACCUCAGAAUUUAAAACAAAUGGGUGAUCUCACUUUAAUUAAGUAAUCAUAAGGCAUUAGAUUUAUGGCGCUGAGUUCAAUGGUCGCAUAACUCGUAAGGGCCCUAGUUAAGUCCCCAGUUAAGAACAACUUCGGUAAGAGGAUCGAAGACAAUCUCGAGUUUGGUUUCUUCUUUCAUGAUGUUCAAUUGGGUAUCGGUCGAUAAAAUGAUCCUAGCGACCUAUUUCAUUUGUUGCAGAUUUUGUUUGAAUUGGAGCGGCAUAUACCUCAAUGGAUCAAUCGAAUUUUAUCUGUUGCAAAGUUGCCCAAGAUAACAUUUUUAUGAGAGGAAGAUGCCAAAAUAAAAAAAAAAAACAGAAAUCACUUAGUCUCGACGUGUCGAGACAAAUUCAACAGCACAAAAAGUUACCAUUUUCUCCGUUCAUGAACCAAAUCAAGAAAAUAACUCCAGAAAACUAAAUUCCGAGCCACACUACUCAACUCAAAGAUGAAAGGGGACAAAUGCAACUAAGAGCGAUGCGAGAAAGGGAAUGGGAGAAAGGACUUACAGAUGAGGCGGAUGUUUGAUUGUUUUUGUAACCUUCCAAGCGAUCCCACGAACCAAAUGACUUAGUUACCGGUGCGACGCGGUCCGCAAACCCUUUUGCUUUCUCUUUUUGCUUCUUCUCUACCUUCUCUCUUGACGCCUUGGAGCUUCGCGAUCUUCUCCGACGGGAAACGAGCAGGCUUCUCCCCCUCUAUUUAUUUCCAAGUUCCCGAGACCCUUCGCGCAUUCCAGAGCUUUCUCGACGUGGACGCUGGAGAAUGUUCGGCUCCGUUCUCCAGCUUUCUCGGGCCCUCUGGUCCGCCACGCGUAAAUAUCUGAUUUAUUGGCAAUCUAUUCUUAACAAAAUAUCAUAAAUCAUAAAAGUCUUCAAUAAAUUAUAAAAAAUUAUCAAAGAUGUAUAUUAUUAUAUUUAUUUAUGAAAUUUAUAUUUACAUCUAAUUAAAUAAAUAAUGUUAGUGAAAUUGUUUGUCUAAUUUGGAAAAUCGAAAUCGCUCGUAUUUUGUUAUAUCCUCUUGUCAUUUAAAAUUGUUAUAAUUAUUUUUAAAAAUUUUCUGUCUCUUAUUAUCUUUAUUAAUUGUAAAACUUUUUUUCUGAUUCCAAAUGCACUAAUGUUCUGCUAAAUCAUCAAUUAAAAUAUUAAAUAAAAAUACAUCUCAAACAUAUAAAUAUAGUUUUUUUUGAAUUAUUUGGUGUAAAUAUAAUUUAAUUCUAAUUUUUUAAAAAAUUAUUUAUUUUAUUUUAAAAAAAAUUAAUAUACUCUUUCGAACAUGCGGUCAGAUUGAUGCUCACGUCUUGUUUCUCACGGAUGGGAUAGGCUUGGGUUGCAAUUUUACAGAAAUAAAAGCAAGAUUUUUUUUCUUAUAUACCUUCUAAAUAUAUAAAAUUAUAUAAAUACUUUCGUAAGAUUACUAUUUAUAGAUUUCAUAUAUAUAUAUAUAUAUAUUUUUACAAUAAGNNNNNNNNNNNNNNNNNNNNNNNNNNNNNNNNNNNNNNNNNNNNNNNNNNNNNNNNGCGAUUAGGGCGGGGACGAUUAGAGGGUUUAGCAGAAUGCAUACCUUCCAUGUAAAUGAUCAUAGGAUAGUAGUCUGAGGUGGUACGAGGGAUGUUUCCAACCACAGCUUAUGGUAAAAUCUCUUUCAACUUCUAUAUACACACACCCAUAUCAUUUAACGUCAUUAAAAAAUAAAUGGCUUAGAAUUAAAAUGACUAAAAUAUCCUUAUGAGUAGAUGUUAAAAAAAAAAUAUAAGGUUAUAUACGCAAUAGCAACUUUACAAGAGUAUUCAUGCAAUUUUUUAUAUUUAGAAGGGUAUAUAUUCAAAAAAUCUAUUUAAAAAAAUCAAUAAUCGGUGAAAAGUUGCUAAGUCUUUUAUGAUUCGGUUAGAUUAACAAGUCAAAAAAAGAUUGAAUCACAUUGUUAAUUUUCUUUUUUAAGAUCUUAGACUCAAUCAAGUUGAAAUAUUAGGUGAUUAUUUUGGUAAUGUUAUUCUUCAUUUAAUGUUGAUAUAAUUAUCAUUAUGGAAUUUAUGACAUCAAUAUAUUCAUCAUUAUUUUUAAAAGAUUAAAGUAUAUCGAAUUUAAAUUAAUUAUAGAUGAUUAAAUUAGUAUAAUAUUUUUUAGCGAUUGUAAAUGCUGAGUUGUUGUUUAUUUUUUAGGCAAGAAUUUUAUAAAAGUGACAUAAUUUAUUCUAUAGAAGUUGAUAUUAACAUGAUUUAAUCCUUUUUGUUAUAUUUUUUUAUUAAUGGUUAUUUUUACUGAAUUUUGAUUAUUUUUUAUUAGAUUUUUUUAAAAUGUAUAUCCUCCUAAAUAUGUGUAAUUGCAUGAAUACCUCCAUAAAGUUGCUAUUUGCAUAUCUAUCCAUAUCAAAUUUUCUUUUUGCAUGUAUACCCUUAAGAGUAUUUCAGUUAUUUUAAUUUUAAAUUGUUUAUUUUUUAACGACGUUAGAUGGUAUGAGUACAUAUAUAAAAAAGAGAGUAAAAAAAAAAUAUACAUACAAAAUAAGUAUUUUAUGAAAAUAUAUAUGUAAAUAGUAAGAGAGUAUAUAUGCAAAAAAAAAAAUUCUAAAAGCAAUUGCUGAUGGCUAAUAGAGUAAACAUGUCGACAAAGUCACACUUAAAUGCACUUUUGGUAAGUUAAGAUCCGCUUAAUACAACACCUAUCCCUUCUACUCUUUUUUUUUCCCAUUCUUUUUCCUCUUGAAAAGAAUCCCCUCUAGUCAUUUGCAAACACAGUGCGCAACAGAUGGGCUUGGUCAGAUUAAGACUAUUAGGCUGCCCAAAACCAGGCCCAAAACCCAACUCAGGCGAAGCAAGCUAGAUUCGGCCAACUGAAACAUCGAAUGAUCCAAUUUUUCUACUAGACUGACGACGUAUCAUAAAUUUUUCUCAAAGUUGUAUCUAAAUCUUAUUUGUUUUUUUCUCUCUUUUUAAGAAAACAGGCGACUAUAGAAAUCUUAUUGGUUUGCCCUAAUUUAUUUAUUUAUUUAGUCUUUCACAACAACUACACGUAUCUUUUCUCUUCGAGCUCGAGCUUAGUCCAACCUUUUAUUCGCCUGGCACGUCCAUUUAAGUUGUAUCUGGGCUCAAAGAUGGGCUGUGUCAGCCCAAUGGCCAUCACCAUCUCCGUAUUUUGGGAACCAGUAUUCCUUGCCCGGUUUAACAACGAAUUAAUUCUCAUAUAAGCGUAAAAAAGACAAAGUCGACUGCCCUUUUAUCCACAACUGAUGGAGUCUCAGGGCUUCAUCUUGUACAUAGUUUACAUUUUUUUUGUUGUUUCUGUGUUUUCCAUCCAAAGCCAUGUUUAGGCUUGAAUUUUUAGUCAAGUCGUGUACUAGGACUGCUAAGCAAAAAAGAUCCACCUAUGUGUGAUAGAAAGCCUAACCCAACUCCAAACUACCACACUUAAUUGCUUAGCCUUGACAUUUCUUCAAUGCCCACGGCCAUCACUCAUCUCUAGGAACAGAGGAGGAUAGAUGAUAGUCUUGGAAAUAGAAUUGUGCAUGUUGAAUGUAUGGAAUAAGUGGGAAGGAAGUUAGAAAAGAGAAAAAAAAAUAUACAACAUAAAUAUGCAAAAUUAUGCAGAAAUCUGUAGAAAACAACAUAGAGAAGACAAGAAAAAAAAUAUUGUUCAUAUGAAUAGUAACCCGACCUGUUCACAAAAUAGUAAUCCAACCCGUUAUUGUUCACGGAACAGUAACCUGAUCCAUUACUGUUCACGGGACAAUAACCCGACCCAUUACUGUUCACGAGACAGUAAUAGGCGGUUAGAGGAAAGAUAUGGGCUAUUGGAAAAGUUGUUGGAUAAAGAUUAGUGGAAAAAUUAUAAAAAUCGUUUUGGAGAAUUUUAGGAAGAUUGUUCAGCUGUUUUGGGCUAUAAAAAGAGGGGACAACAACCAUUAAAAAAAGAGAAGAAAACCUAAAAGGUGAGUGCCAUCGUGGGCGAAGCCUUGAGAAAUCAUCUUUCUUCUACUUUCAUCCAGCUUCUUAACUUAUUUCUUCAUAAAGCCAUCUUUUCGACCCCGUCAUCCUUCGUCUCGAUGCCUUGGUGGAAUGUAGCCUAAAGAUUCUCAUUGAAUUGAAGGGACUAAACUCGCAUAAAUAAUUAUCCGACUAGUUCUAUCGUCAUCUUUUACCCAACCCUCUUUUCUUCAUCCAUCAAUCAUUAUCUCCACCUAUUAUCAUUACCAUCGUUGCCAUCUAUCACAUUCUUGGAAUCCAAAUUUACUGGCUGUAUCUUUUUAUUGUUCGGUUGCAGUUAUUUUCAGUUUGCUUCAUUAGUUAUACUUUGUUGAUUAGGCUUGAUAUCUAACAUGUUCUAUUUUGUGUUCAUAUAUUUCUAUGAUGAUCUUUUGAAAUAAUGAGCAUAGUGCCUAAUCAACCGCACCAUAAUUAACUAUUAUAAAAUCAAUCUACAUAUGUAAUGGUUGAUUAUAUGUUGCACCAACAACAAGAGGGAAAGGCCAUCAUAGAGAGUACUUCAACGUUCAAUAUUCCGCCCAUCAUGCAACUGCAAUAAAAUGUAGAAUAGCAAUAGACAAUAUUUUGGCCUUAAAAAUGGUCAAAAUUUUCUUUAUUAUUGUAAAGGAAAACUAGCAUGGUGGCUUUUUGGGUGCAUCAGCUUCAAAAAUAUUCAGAUUCAAAAUUCAUAACUUCGUCAUCAGCAGGAUAAUCUCUGGACCGUCCAGGUGGCAAACAAUGCUAUUCUCUUGGUUUGUGCAAAAGGAACCUUUGUAACUAGAGAAAUUCGACACCUAAUUGUAUUCAUCCUUCUCUCCAAUGUUGUAUAGCUAAAGAAAUAAAUGAACUAAAUAGAGGAAGGUUUUAAAGAAGAGAAUAAAAUGUCAAGAGCCAGAGCUAUCUUUAUAUAUAUAUAUAUAUGGGGUCAGAGAGCUAUCUAUUUUAAACAAGUGAUUACAUUAACAUCAAACAUCUUUUAAGAGAAGAGAUACGUAACCAUCUUACUCAUAAGACCAUUUUAAACAAAAAAUAAUAAUAAUAAUUACAACUUAUAGUAGAUUACAUCAUGAAGAGACCUGUACAAUUGAAAGAUAAAUAUUUUCCAAUUAAAAACAGAUAAAUAUUAUUUACCUUCAGGUCUUUGUUGGAAAAAUAUUAUACAAGUCGUUUAGGUUAACCACCACCCCUGCGGCGCAUGAAUCUCGAUCUCCAAAAGCUUGCAUUUUGUUCAUAAGGGUGAUACAUGUACCGAUAUUUUGACAGAAUGAAACCAAUGUACAAGCACCAUACAGAAUAUUCGCGCUAUAAGAAAAAAUUGUAAACUAGUAGAGCAGACCUGCAUUCCGUUGGAGUGCCCAUGCUGCUGCAGAAAGCGAUAGCCAUCUCAUCAUGCAGCCAGAAAACUGCACUGCAAAGGAUAUGAAGUUCCGAUAUCUCCUUGCUCCUGAAAGGCCUGAUGCUAAAUCCCUGUGCUGUGGAAGAUUCAACAAUAUUUUGGUGAUAAGCUAGUUUACAUGUUAAAAAAUUACAGUUACAAAAUAUAUCGCAUCAAAGAUACAAUCACACAUAAAGAGGUAGCAAUUUCAUUAGUCUAGCAUGUUUCAACAUGAAGCACCGAACAGUUGAUUAUGUAUUCACAGGACUCCAUAUCGACAAUUUGUUAAGAAUAAAACUAUUGAACCAAACACUAGUGCCUAAAACACUAAAUUUGCUGACUAAACACCUUAUGAGUUUAGUCCAAACCCUUUUUUCCCCCUUAUUAUCUCUAAAAGGGGAAUCAACCGAAUUACAUACAAGUCCUAGCCACCAAUGAACGAGAAAAGCUUGAUUUUUCUUAUUUCCACACAUGGAGUCGCUAAAAAAAGAAAAACCUGAGCACCACAGCAGAGCAUACUGUGCCAGAACCAAAUCAAACAGCACGGCAAUGGGAACAGACAGGUCUCACUGCUUUGUCCUUACAACCAGUUGGGAGCAAAAGUAUGUGGUACACCCUGCUCAGAAUUAACACUCUCGACUUGGCUUCCAGAGUGGCUCCCAAGACCUGCAUCACUAGUUAGCAUUGCCAUUAAACUCCCACCAUGCACUCUACCUUCUGGAAGAGAAACUACAGGAUGCAUUGCUGACUUCUGAUGCCCACUCCAACUCGAUUGACUUUGCCUGCCAGUUUCCAUAUUGGUGAACAUGUCUCGAUCAACAACCACCUCUUUCAUCUUCUCGGCUAUGUGGCCACCGUGAACACGAUGGUCUUCCACCUGGGCGGUGUGUGCAGCACAGAGCCCAAUUUUUCCCCUGGCAAAGCGAUCACAUGGGGGGCCACCAGCACCAAAAACUGAACCUGCUUGGCCCCAAGAGCAGCGCUUACCUCCCCCAUGUGCCUUGCAGAAAUCAGUGCUUCCCUGAGCGCUCUUCCCACAACCCUCAAACUUGCAUCGCUUCCCCCACCAUGACGAACACAGAAAUCAGUCCGCCCUCUAGCGCUCCUAGUGCACUCCGGUGCAGCACACCUCUUCCCCCCACCAUGGGCAACACAGAACUCAGUUCCACCAUGCACACUCUUUGAACAACCACCUGGGAAUGCACAACGCUUCCCUCCACCAUGCCCCUUACAGAAGGGUGUGCUUCCUUCAGCUCCCUUGGUGCAGCCUGGAAAUGUGCACCUCUUACCUCCACCAUGUGCCUUGCAAAACAUCGUGCUGCCCUGUGCGCCCUUAGUGCAUUGUGGAUAUUGGCAGCGACGGCCACCCCCAUGGGAGAUGCAUAGACCAGAAUGACCUUCUGCACUCUUGAUGCAAUUCUCCCUCUGGCACCUCUUGCCACCACCAUGCCUGAUGCAUAGACCAGAUUUUCCCCUUGCAGCUCGAGUACAGCCAUCAUUGCUGCAACGACGACCACCACCAUGAGCAAUGCAGUAAUCAGUCCGGCCCUCAGCACUCUUUGUGCAGCCAAGGUAUUCGCAUCGGCGGCCACCUCCAUGGGCUUUGCAGUAGAUCGUCCUGCCCUCAGCUCCCUUGUGGCAACCAGGUCUCUGGCACCUGCGCCCACCACCAUGGGCUAUGCAUAGCCCAGAAGCACCUCUGGCUCCUUUUCCACAUCCCUGGAACUGGCAGUAUUUUGUAUUGAUGCUGCGCUGCUGUGGAUGGGUGAUCCCAGAAGUAGAGGCAACUGGCUUGUUCAGCAUCUGCUCCCAGUUAGAUGACAGAUCUGGUGCUGGAACUGAAGCAGAUAUCCAAGGAAUCAUUUGGUUAGAAACAACUACAGCAGUUUUCUCGGAGGCAUAUGGGUACGGCAAUAAAUUACUCCCACGUUUCCAUCGAGACGAUGUCGAUCCUUCAUCAACAGCUGGUGUUGAACCAACCAUUACUGAUGAGUCCAAGAUAUCCUGAUGUUGGGCUGAAUCUGGACUGAGACUAGUAACAACAGAUUGAGAUGGCCCCACUGAAAGACUUAACUGAAGGUCAAACUUAGGCUCCUUCCGAGUAGCGACAGCAGGUUUCUUGGGGAUCAGUGCAUUUUCAUUGCCAAGAUUAAGACGAAAACUUAGGCCCAAAUCCAUGGAAGAUUCAUCAUCAGUUUCUUUGGGCGAAGCCAUUGUACAAGCAGUUGUGGAGCUCCUCUUGCUGCUAUCUGAGGAACUUGUUGAACACCCUAAACCUAGUGCCAGUGAAGCAUUCUUCAGACCUUGAGUUCCAUCAAUAUCAUCCCACUUCCUCUUUGUUCCUAUCAAGUUAAAAUACGGGCCGGAGUUGCCAGGGGAAUUAAGGCAUAAUGUGGUGUCUGCAUGAUAUUCGGCCCCUGAUCCAACUCUGCCCCAAGACACGGAAGAAUUUGUCGAUGAGGCACCAACAGCAAAUCCAGAGUGCCCAAAUCUGUUAUCCAUAGACACUAUUUGCAGGAAGGAUCUAUAAUCUCAAGCAACCCACGACAGAAAAGAACCAGUUAGCCAGACUUCCGAAACUAAGUAGUUAACAAGCAUUACAACAGAGGCCGGAGGCUCUUUAAAAGGUAAUUGCCUCCUCCACUAACAAAUCCCGAGGUAUCACAACGGUCCAUUUCCAGAUAAGAGAGAAAACUACGCAGUGAGAUUAAGCUACAACCAAUUAUUAGCAGACACUGGUGUCAUCAGAUAAGAUCAAAGCAACCAAUGUUCCUGUUGGAGAAAAACACUAGUUAGCAAGAUGGCUUAGCCAAACCAAGGGAAUCAAGAUUAUUUCAAAUUAAACUUUCUACAAAGCAAAUGAUAUAGUUUAUGAUAAGAGAACUAAAAAGAAAUACAAGGUUUCAUUAUGUGCAUGUUCAAGGGAAACGGGCUAUACAGUGCAUGAUCAAUAAGACAGCAUCUAAUCCAGAAAGCUAAUACAAAAAAUUUUGUAUGUCUUUUUCAGUAUUUUCCACUUUGUAAGAGAUUAUCCCUUUGAAAAUUAUGACAUAGUCUCUUCUGAAGAAAAUUCUAAGAGGGAUCAUUAAAAUUCAUAACAAUAGACAGAAAUUCUCAAUACUUCAACAAUGAGAUGUGCACAUUAAUCUAAAAGUACCAAAAAGUAAUUAAAAGGAUUUCAAGAUAUCAAUUGUUUCCAUUCACAAAGCUAAUAAGUAUCUUGAGCAAGGAAUGCGGAACCGUCCAUAAUCGCCCGGUUCAAAGCGUACCAAGCCAUGCCGGCAGCAGACCAGGACGGUUCCGGAGGCAGACCAGGACGGUUCCGGAUGCAAACCAGGACGGUUCCAGCAUUCAAAAUGGUGAACCAGCAGGUGGGAGGAGAGGAAGAAGGAAAGAGAGGAAAAGAGGCGAGAGGAAGAGGGAGAGGGAGGGCCUCCAGAAGCCUCCGGAGGGCGCUAGAGGGGCGCCAAAGGGCUAGAGUAGGGGCUUCGCCCUUCGGACCCCUAUGAUGUUCGAAUUAGAGGUCCGUUGGGGCUCUUUUUUUUGUUUUGAAAAUUUUUAGUGAAGUCGACAAGAGGUUUUCCGACUUCACUUAAAAUUUGAGCCCCUUUUUUGGAAAUUUAAAGUAAAGUCAACAAACCUCUUGCCGACUUCACUUAAACUUUUCAAAAUAAAAAAGGAGCCCUGACAGACCCCUGUUUCGAACGAAACAGAGGGUCCGGAGGGCGGAGCCCCUGCUCCGGCCCUUCGCCACCCUACGAAGGCCUUCGGCGACCCCCCCCCCCUUUUUUCCCUCUCUCCCAUUCUCUCUCCCGCUCCCUCACCCUGUUGUGUCGGUACAAGCUCGACACGGUUGGCCCGGCACAGAACGACAUAGGGGCAUACCGAACCGUGCCACCGGCCGACCAAUACAGGCUCCAGUAACAGCAUGGCAGACCUUGAUCUAAAAAAAAACAUCACUGCACUUCACAAACAUCAGGAACCAUCCAAGUUAGUCCUGACGAGCUAAGAAUCCUGAGAGAUACAUGGAGCCACUGAAUUGUUGAUAGAAUACAUACACACACCCAUAAAAGAGAGAAACAUGCCAGACAUCUUGCAUAAUCUAAACAAAAAAUCAAAACUUUUGACUAUUUUGUCAAUGAAUACAGCAACACACACACACAAAUGCCAAAAACAAAAAAACUUGAGGGUGAGAAAUAAGCACAGUUCCCAUUGCAAAGUUUAGACAAAAAAUGUUGAACAUGAAUGCAAAUUUUCAAUUUUCAAUUUCUCUAUUGCUGGACAAUAAAGCAUGCUUAUUUCCAUAGAGUAGAAAAAUGCCAGGAACCUUUCAAAAUGCUUAUCGAGAAAAAAGGAAUUAUGAGUAUUAGAUCGAAGAAUACUGAAGUCCUGCCAAUAAAGCCCGAAAAAUGGAAAUUAAAAACUCGCAUAAACUUUUAUUUCAAUAAUGAUUAUUAUUAUGAUGAUAAUAAUAAUAAUAACAACAAAAGCACUGCUUCACUGGGGAUUGGGGUGUUUUGGGGGCCAAAUACCUAUUUUGCUGUCAGAAGCUCAGCAGAAAGCCUGGAUUGUGCCAAUUUAAAAUACACAUAGCACUUUCUACAGCAAAUGCUUGUCUUUGGUAAAAGCAGAGUUGCACAAGUAAAUGUCCCAUUAAAUAUCAGACAACAAAAAAACAACUGAUAAGAAUACAGGAUCUCAAGAUUUUCCUAUAAAAUGAAUAAUGAAGCAAAGAAUAAAACAGAAUCCAACUACAAAAUCAACACACUCAAUUCAAUUACAAAUUGAGGCUUCCACAACUUUCCUCAUUGUAUAUGUUGUAAUCUUGCUUCGAAAGCAGUUACCUUAAAAAGGAAGAACUAGAUAAGAGUAUAGUAUUCCUUAGUAGUUUGGUAGUCUAAUUUUGGGGAAAAGUGUCAGGUAUUAGAAAAAAAAUGAAACGAAAUAUGAAAGCCAUCUGGGAUGAAAUUGUCAGGCAAGGUCGGCGGAACCGUCCCGAACCGGAUGGUUCUGGCCGAUCCGAGCCGUACCGGUAGCUCACCAGUACAGCUCACCAGUACAUGUCUGGCAACGAAAAUAAGAUCCAUUGCCAAAGUCGGAGAAGAAGAAAAGAGAGAGCGAGCAGGGAGGGAGGAGGGCCGAUGGAGGCCGCGGCAGGUUCUCCUGUUUCGAAAGAAACAGAGAUCCGGCCGCGGCUAAAAAAUUUCACGAUUUUUAAGUGAAGUUGGCAAAUCGUUCGCGGAUUUCACUUAAAUUUUUUAGCCACAGCCGGACCCCUAUUUCAUUCGAAACAGAAGAACCAGCUGCGGCCUCCGCUGGCGUCUGCCACCCUCCUCCGGCCUUCCCUCCCCCGCUCACUCUCUCUUUCUCUUUUCCUCUCUUUUACGGUGUCGUGCCCUCUCUCGGUACAAGCUCGGCACGGCCCGUACCGAGUCAUCCCGCCGAAGAACCGGUAUAAUGUCCGAUACUGGUUUCUCCGACCUUGUUGUCAGGUAUUAGAAGUUUGGCCUUUAGGUAGUGGGUUUUGUUCGAUUUUUGGUGAAUAUCUCCCUCAACAUCAUCUACUCAUCUUGGUACAAUAGGGUCACUCAUAUUUAAGGCAAGCAGAUGCAGCAGAGCAUGGACACAACCCAUGCUGGAUGCAUGCAUACACAAGUUAGAACCAAUACAACAGAUGGCGUGCACAAUAAAGGAAAAAACAGAUAAUUGAAAAGGAGAAAACUAAGUUUGGUUUUAUGUUAGAAAAUGACAUAUUUUGGUUCUGUAAGCAUGUCUUACAUUAUUUGAAAGCUCGUUAGUUUUAAGAAGAGACAAGAAAAGAGAGAGCUUACGCUAUGUAAAAUCAAGGUAAAAAAAGGCUUGCUAAUUAUAGAUUGAUGAAAUCUUAUUCUUAAUUAUUAAAAAGUUGUACAAUCUACGAAAGCAAAUUCCAAGUGGUAUCUAAAAGGAAAAAUUUUUGCUAACAUCUGUUGAUUCAUCACGCAUUUGUUAAAUGCCUGGAAUGUGAUGUAAAAAUUAAAAGCCAGAAUUGACAAAUUUUUAUCAUCAGAAUUUUAAUACAGUUUGAAUUCAAAAUGGCAUACAACUUCAUUAUCUGUAAAUUUGCGGAUUUAAGGAACGCAGAUGGGUGGGGCCAGGUCCCAGUUGAGCUACACUUUAGCCAAUUCGUCUUUGGGCCUGUAAUUUAAACCUUCGUCCAACUUGAUGAGUCAGGAAACAUUCAUUCUAAGUCAGCUUUAAGCUCAAAGCCAAGAGCAAUGUACAAGACUGAAAUUUUAAACAAUUCUUUUUCAGGUCUAAUAAGGUCCAGUUAGAUCUCAUCAAGUUCAAUUCAGUUACAGCUAUUCUCGAAUAAUCUGGAGAUUUAGGUCUCAAUUUAGGACUCAUAUCUGACCUCACAGACAUAAGUUAUGAACUCGAUCAAAAUAUGGUUGAGCAAUGGGCAAAUCGAUGUCCAUCUGACCCACUUCUGCCUCUAGGUAUCCAAUUAUUAACGUUCUAGGAUCUUAAAAAAAAAAAAAUCCUUUAAGAUUGCUAUACCAAAUAUUAAAAAUUGAUAUGCUUGAUAGUCAUGUAAUAUAGAAAAUCCUUAGUUUAUAUUGCAAUGUGCAAUGUAAUUUUGACCUAAUUCAUUCUCUUUCGCCAGAUCUAACCCAGCUCUUGAAGUAAAUAAGACGCCUAUGAUCAUGCGAUAAAACAUCAAGUAUUAACGCUCUAGUAUCUUAUAACAAAUUAAUUCCUUUAAGAUUUUUAUACUUAAUAUUAUAAAAAUCAAUAUGCUUGAUGCUCAUGUUGCAAUGUGCAAUGCAGCUUUGACCUAAUUCAUUCUCUUUCACCAGAUCUAGCCAUCGCUUGAAGUAAAUAUGAUGCCUAUGAUGACACGAUAACCCAUCAAGUAAUUCUAAAGAAGCGACACCAUGAAAUCUGGAAGUCCACAGCAUCUCAAAAUGAAAAGUGGUGCACUGAUAUAUGAAAAUUAUCACAAAAGGGGCGUACAUGGGAUAAUUCUUGAUCCUAUCUGAAGUCUAACACAAGGUAGCUGAGCCAUAAUAUAAGUAGCAUUAAAAUUGCUCAAAUAAUGAGAAAGGAUGUGCACUAGAUCCUUGGCAACCAGAUUAGUGUACUGAUUUGCGCAUGCAGGUCACCACCACAAAUCUCAAACAUGGGACUGGGUCAUAUAGGUAUUCUAUCAUUUGUGCAUCACUAUGAAUUGGAGUAAUGGUUUGUAGGAUCAGUGUAGAUGAUUUGGGAACUCAAGAUCUUCGUAGGCACACUGACCCACGUGUGUCUCCCAUCUCUGUCUGUGUCCGCGAGAGAGGGAGAGAAAGAAAAUUAGAAAAAGUAGUUAAGGGGAAAUAUUAUAUUGUAUAUGAAAAAAAGGAACUAUCUGUUAUGAAUAAUUUAUUGUAAAACAUAAAGAAAAUUUAAAAAAGUAGUAGCAGCUUAGAUAACAUGUCAGUCGUCAGAUCUGCAAAAUUUAUCCCAUGAAACAUUGCUACACAUAGCUUUAAUCUUGGUUAUCCAAUUGAAGAUAUCGAGCAUCUGUUAGCUUCUAAUAGUCAGUCAUGAAUGCACACACUUCUGGUGUAAAAUUGAAUCAUUUUAGAAUGUGUAUUGUGCAAAUUUAUGAAAUCCAUGGGGUCUAGAUGAUAAGAUCCAACAAUUUAAUUAUUUGUAAAGGCAUAUAAAAAAUGAUGUCAAUUAGUUUUAUUGACACAGAAGAAAUGGAAUGUUAAUAGAUCUGCACAACUAAUAGAGGGAGAAAGAGCAUUCAAACAGCCAUUAACAUAUUUGUUAAGAUGAAGAGGCCUAUCCAUGGACAGACAUAGGUUGCAGUGGAUUGGUGCACUUAAAACAUGCAAGAUGAGGUCAGAGAAUAAACACUUAAAAGGUAGAAAAGGCAGAUUUAGGAUCGGACAGGCAAACAAAGAAGGAUCAACCUAUUCUUCAUGAAGAAUGAAGGAAGCAGAGUUUGGGAGAGGCAUGAAGAUAGAGUAGGAGUCUUAUGGUGCUUGAGUUCUCAAUAUGCUUUGAACUUUCACUCAAAGUGGAAUUAAUACUGGGCUGAUUUCAGAUUUAUGUCCGAGACAAACUUAUUGGGCUAAAUUUACAUAUGUGAGCUAUGCAUGUCAAUUCUUGUCAUUUCUUCAGUUUUUCAAUCUUGGAAACACCUCUACACUAGAAGCACUGCAACAUUGCAUCCGAAGAGAUCGACAGCAAAAUGAGCUUUUUGGCAUUAGAAGAAAUAUCUUAACUCAGAUCUUAUAUUCAUUCCAAUUGUCCCAUGCCAGAUUAUCAUCAAAAGUACAAAAUGAUAUAUUAUACUCAAAUUAUGAUUAUUCAAUAUCACAUUUUCAAAAUAAUGUUUCCAUUAUCUCACUGCAAAGCCAACGAAAUGAAAUUCCGAAAGGUCCAAAAUAACAUAUCACACCUUCAAAUGAUUUGAUUUCAAUAUUAUAUCCUUAAUAUAGUUUAUUUUCGUUUUAGUUUUAUUUCCCUAAUCUUAGUUAAUGUUUUAGUUUGGCAAAACUAUCAAUAGAAAUUGUUGGAACUGAAGCUGAAAGCACCAAAUACCAAUUUAGACCCAACCAAUAUCAAAACUAAAACUGAGUUUCGAACCUUGGUUCUCGAAUAACAGAAAUCACUACCACCAGGAUUUAUGAAACAGAUUAGGAGAGGUUAAUUUUCAAAACAAAAUAAGGAUAACUCAACAGAAUAAUCAGUCCAUUAGCGAAAAUACAGAGAAACUGAUAAUCACAGCAUAUUUACACAAAAACCAAAAAAUGAGUAUUUAAACCAGCGUUGGAACCAUUAAAGUAGAUAAACAGAUGAUGUGAAAUUAGUCAGUGAUUCCAGUAGGAAUCAUGAUUAGAAUAACGUCAGCAAUUAGAGAACAUAAAUUCCUUAAAACAUAGAGGAACAGAAACGCAUAUGAUGCCCCAAGAUUAGAGAACUUGUCUAAAUUAAAAGCUAUAUAAGCACACGAAUCUGAUCUGACAAAUCCAUCCAGAUAUCAAAUUACCAAAUUAGAUUGAUGAAAAGUUCCAGUCACUCAAAGCAAGGCUUGGAAAAAAAAAUGCCUAAAAAUAACUAAUAUAAACAGAUGGUAGAUCAGCGAGAUUAUUGGAGGGAUUCACUACUGAAGGAAACAGCAUGCAGACCAAGACAGUAGCUCGUCCUUGUGAGAGCUAGACAAACCUCAAGCCACGCGCAAGGUUCAAGGACUACUGCACAAAACCACUGAUGAUGAUGUAUCUGCAUGAGGAAAAAUAGUAAGAGAAAGGGCAAGGUUAAUAGCUUUUAAUUUGUCCGUGACAUAAAAUAUAGGUGCAGCCAAUAAAUUAACAUACUACUUAUAAAUUUUAUAACUAUACGCAUGUAUAUUGUAAAUAGCACUCCAGAUUCACUAGACCUUUAUAUACCACUACCUUCCGUAUCUUGACCAGCAAUGAGAAAUACACGGUUACGCUCCGAAUACGGACCACGCCUCUGACCUUCACCUGAAGAUGAAGGCUUUUCCUUGUUCUAGAGCAAAAUGUGACGGCUUUUUUCAAAGACCAAACAUAAAAACGGAAUAAAAACAAGAAAAAGAAGAAAAACCAAGUAAAACCCUCAGGAAUCAAGAAAUUACAGCGCAAACAGACCAAUCCCAGAACAUCGAUCGGAUUUUAAUUAUAAAAACACGAAUCCCGCAAGGGUUCAUGUAUCGAGUCCAAAGUUUUCUAGACAAUCCGACGAAAAAAAGAUUACAAAUAAAAAAAAAACCUAAGAACGAAGCGAAAGCCAGAGUUUUGAAGAAGGAAGAAGGAAUUUUAACGAACAAGAACACGAAAUUCGAACAAGAUUUUUCAAUCCAACAGAGAUAUGGCACGCGAAAGUUUCGUCAGAACACGAGCUACCUCCAAGGAACGCCGAACCGAGCAACAAAGAUCAAAAGAGAGCAGGAACCCGUAUAAAUACACAGAUCGCGCCGGCGGCGCGAGAGAGACGGAAAGGAAGCGGGCCGCACCUGGAAUCGGUGAUUCCAAGAAAAAGGAAUCGAAGAACCCGAGCAGCUUGAGAUCCCAAGCGAGGCGAUGGGGACUAGGGUUUCUCCUGGACGGGAGCAAGAACCAGAGCCACGGGGGGAGAGAGAGAAACGAGGCAAAACGAAAGCAAGAGGAUAAGAAAAACCCCAGCUCCCGGAUAAAAACAGUAGAACCAUGGAAACCAGCGCAAGUGGCCGGAAAAACCAUUAUAUUAAAAAAAGAAAUGGACACAUGAGUCCUCCUUGCUCAACCUAAUUCCAACAUAGUCACUUUCUUCUUUCAAAAAAAUAUUAAUUUAAACGUUUGGAUCAGGGAGACAAACAAGUGCUUUGUUAAUUCUACUAAUUAUUUUUAAUAUGACGUUAAUUUAUCUAUUAUCAUUAUAUAAAUUCUUCAAAACCUUUUUCAUUAUUCAAAAUGUCACAAUAAGGAAUUUAUAAUAAAAGAAAUUCGUGUUAUAACAAAUAAAAUAAUAAUUAAAAGAAUUUUGCUGCGGUGCUUCUAACUUUUCCGAUCUUAGCCAUAGAUUCGAGAAUCAAGUCUCAAAAUAAAAUAUUGGAUAGUCGAUAAUAAAGGAUCAAAAUCUAUAUUUUUUUUUACCCAACCUCAAUUACUCUUCCGAUCUUAACGAGAAAUUGGUCGUCAUCAACACUAGUGAACAUGUUAUUGCUACUCCUCCGAUGAUCUAAAACGUUCUUUAUGGUGUCCACCCAAGCUGGGAGGGAUCUACCGACCUAGUGAUGGCCUUAGCUAUCUCCUUUCAAGGGAUGAUGAGGUCUUUAAAUGGGACAUCAUCGAUCUGGCAAUAGCCUUAGCCAUCUUCUUUAGAGGGAUGAUGAGGUCCCUAGGUGGGACACCACGAAUUGUCAAAGUCAAGCAUGAUCCAUCUAAUGAUAAGACUAAUGGAGAUGCCAUCGUCAAGCAUGCUAAAGGAAUGAAGUGGCCUAUAAGGUAUAUGUCAUCAGAGUAGGAGAAGAGGUUGGCAAGGUUGAGUUGGCUUGGACGGCGAGGGGUGUGGAGGUUGUCAAAGACUAGCACAAAUGAUGAUAGAGAGGAGUUGGAAGUGGCAAUCUAAAAGCUAAGGAUGGAUGGAAAUUUGGUGGAAAAGAAAGCAACGCCACUGCCAUUGUUGUUGUUGGAUUCCAUUUUCACCACCGCUUACCGCUUUAUUUUUCAGUAUACCUUUUUAACAAUGGAUGGUUACCAUUAUGACUUUAUUCUUAUUAAAAAAAAAUAUGGAAGCACAUAGGAAUCAUUUUUGGUAAACGCUUGGAGCGGUAGGAUCAUUUUGUCCCGUUGAAAUGGUAUUUAAGGCAGAAAAAUAAACUAAUUUGAGAUUUGGAAGGAAGUCAUGGACUGAUGUGUUAAAAUACCACGUCGGCGUUGUCGCGCGGACCCGAGCCUUCCGAGCCGGGUGGUUAGGGGCCGACCCGAGGCAAUGACACGUCAUCCUUGGCGUCAGCCUGGUUGGGCCCCACGCAACGUUCGUCGGCGGUAGGUUCGUGGUUCGUCGGCGCGGGUGCUCGCUGCUGCGGCGUCGGGUCUCUUUUUCGGUCUCUUUUCCUCGGCGCUGCUACAGGUUAUGGGUCUCGACGUGCGGGCCCCACGAAUCCCCUGCCCCUGAAAUGUCGUCCUCUGGGUCGAGGCUCUUCCGCUAAAGGUUAUUAGAAUCUGACAGGUAUUUAUCGCAAGAUUUCCUCUCUCUUUUUUUUCUUCUUAAUUUUAAAAAAAAAAUUAUUCGAAAGAGGUUUUAUGGUCAGAGAUUGAUACAGUGCCCCCACCUUUAAGCCAUUUUAUUUUUCUUGAUACUACUGGUUAAACUCACAUUAGAUUAUUUUGAACAACCGUUGCACUAAAAAGAUUAUAUGCUGCCUCUGCACAAAAUGGGUUCAUAUUGUAACAUAAAGGAAGGUUCACAGUAAGUUAUUUUCCUUAAGCAUUACGUAGCAGGUUUGCAUCUAUGGCUGACCAUUUUGUCCCACCUACUUUGGAUUUAGAAGUCAAAUCAUCUGCAUGAGUCUUGUUAGCAAUGCAUUAGAAAUUGCCAUCUUCUUGAUGCUGCCUAUCCUCUUCUUGGAAGGAGACUACCUUUGUUUAGAUAAACUGCCAACCGUGACUCUUGUUGUAGGAGGUCAAGGCUAUGGAGUAAUUUUAUAGCAUAUCUCCAUAUAUAGUGGAUAGAUAGGAACAUUUGAGAGAUUGUCCAAAUAAUAAUAUAAUAAUAUAAUAAUAAGAUUUAGUUUGGUAUUGCUAUAGGUAGUAGAGCUUUCAUUUAUAGGACUUUGAGUAGUAGAAUUUUUGCUAGUAAAAUCUUUUUAAUUAAAAGUUAUUUGCUUUUUGGUUAUUGUGAAACUUCAAUAUAUUUGGUAACUAAAUUGAGAAAGCACUUUUAGUAUGAAAAAAUGACAAUAAAAAAAUAUUAUAUAGUGCUUUUAAGUAUCUAGCUAUUAUACUAUCAAAAACCAUUAUUAUAAAGUAUUUUUAACUUAUCAAUUAUUUAAUUUUAUAUUUUAUUCUAAAUAAUAUAACAAGCAAUAAUUUUUUAUAUUUAUAAUAAAAAAUAUAAUAAUACUUAUGCAAUACUAUUAUGUUAUAAUAUUUUUUGAUAUAAUAAAAUGAUAGUAUUGCAGUACUAUAAUAUUAUUAUACAAUUGUUGAAUCAGGAGGAUCUCUAGUAUUUGAAACCGGUCUUGAAGCGUAAAUUAACACUGUCCUCAAGCGAAUUUUGUCCCCCACUAUGUUGCUAUUGGUGAUCCAACAAAUACGCUCCAAGAUAUAACAAAAUCGAAAUAGAAUCCUAGCCAACAAAACUAGGAUUCCUCAGAACAACUGAAUGAAAGAUUUUGUAGAAGAAGUUGUAUUAAUCUGUGAAGGAUAUUGGCUAAUUAUAACCCUGAACUAAACUCUGAACCAACAUAACUAUUGGAACAAUAUCUGUUCAAAACAUUAUUGCUCAUGCAGUUAUUUUGUGCAAAAUGGAUAAAAACUGCCAAUCUAAAUUUUAUUUUACACGUGCAUGUGCCACGUGCCAAUCUUUGAUUAAUAUAAUAUUGACUUUCUCUCCACAACUUUCCACCAAAAAGUCAUUUUAACAUGUGUAGGAUAUGAAUGCUUAUAAAGCUAUCUAAAAAACUCUACACAAGUAAUGUGGGACUAAAACCCCCCUCAACAUUACAAACUACCAAAAGAAAGGAGACUUCCAACAACAAUAACAUAAUAUAAUAAUAAUGUUAGUAUAUUAUUAUAUUAUAUUAUGAAAAAUUAGCAUGGAUAUUCUCAUCUCUACAAAAAUUUAUGGAAAUAGAAAUACCAUUCUUUGUUUUCUCAAGUAGUACUUUCGCCAAAAUGGAGCUUUUUCCCUAUAGGCUUCUUUUAGCUUUUAGAAGGAAUAGAAGGCUAUUUCAAAGUUUUUAACAAUCAUCUCGAAAUAAUCUAAAAAAGUUUUUGACCCUCCAACCACACAAGGCCUAUCAGGAUCUAAAAGGAAGGAGACAUAAGCUUUUAUGUAAAGUAGAAUAAGAUCUUUUAUGUAAGUAGGAAAAGAUUAGAUAAAAGUAAUGACAAUGCUGUAUGGAGGAGAUUUCUUACUAUUUAUUAAAUAAAAACCUUACUGAAAAAAAGUCCCUCAGCUGUGUUAUAGUUUUUCCUUUGCUUUAGCCAACUCACAUUUGCAGUUUGAUUGACCCUUUGGGCGAGCAUUGUGAGUUACUGAAGCAAAUUUGUUAUUUUUUAUUUUUUCCAAAAACGUCUUGUCAGUUGCCACAAUCCGAUGCGGACUCAAUAUUGCAUUCUAAAUCUGACGUCCAAAAACUAGAAUUUUACCAAGAUUACACGCGUUCAUCAGGGAUUCCGAAAGUGCUUUCAGAUCCCCAUCCCCUUUCCUCACGUGCCAGAAGUCGCGCAGAGUCGACUUUUCCUCUUGUUUCUAUCACAGACAAACUAUGGUCUUCUUAGUCUUGCAAUAAAUGUAUAAAAGAAUGAAGAAUAUUAUCCCUGAGAGCGAAGAAAACAAGCAUUAGAGUAGCCUGGGCGUGUGGACUCGAAUCUUACGUUACGAAGCCUACCUCUCAAGUCUACGGCAGGUGAUGCUAUAUUUGGUAGGGUCAAGCCACGAAACCAAAGAUGGUGACUCAGGCAUUUUGAACUUGGUGAGUAGUGCUCAUCACUAUGAGAUACUUCUACACGUCUUCUGCAUCAAUUUUUAAAUAUAUUUUUUUUCUAAUUCUUAAGAGUAUAUAAAUGCAUAUACUCGUUUUAUAGAAUAAAAAAACAAAAUGUUAGUCUCCAAAUCGAUGACUUUUGUCAGUUCGAGUCUAGUUCCAGCGAAGGUAGAAGUGAAAAAUAAGACUAGAGUUUUUGCCGAGCAAGGAUUCUGAAAAUAAUCCACGCUUUAACAAAUAUUCGACUCUUGAUGUUUAAGAGAAAAAGCAACCGAAAGUGCUUUCAUCCCUUCUUUUUUUUCCUUUUUUUCUUUUUUUUUGCUGAAACGGGCAUUUCAUACAUUAUAGGUACGAAUAUACCCAAUAGUACGAAUAUAUCCUUUCUUUUAAUCUUCUGUCUAAUAAUGCUGUCUAAUAAUGCAGGCAAGACUAAUCUGCAGAUAGAUAAUAAAAUAGUCUUGAAUCAAAUGAAGAUUAUAGUCAUGCGGUGCUCAUGUUUGCCGUUAGCAUACAGUAAUCGAGCUCAAAGUGCCCACAAGUUCAAGACAGCUUAGCUCUAAAUAACACUAUCUUAGGUCCUGCUAUAACAAGUUUAGUCCACCUCUAUUGCAACAGUAAAGUUCUAUAACAUCACCUAAAAUUUCUGUGAUGGUGGUUUUUAGUUCGUAAUAAUGAUUUUAUCAACAUAAAGAACAAGAAAUAGCUCUUGUUAUAUAUGUGCAUUACAACCAUCAUAGAUGAUGUGCAACAAUGUUAGGAGCAUCAUACAGCAGUCAAACUAGCUGUAGCUGAACUCUUUUAAAAAUGUUAUUCCACAGGGAAUUAAUGUUCCAAGAUAGCGAUAUUAAUGUAUUAUACAGACUAUGCAACAACGCCAGCAACAAUGAUCACAAGACAAGAACAUAAUUAGAUAAUUAGGUAGAUUAUGAUAUAAUUGAAAAUAGAAAAUAGUUGAUGCUAUACAACACUGUUAUGACUUCUAAGAAUAAAUAUUAUGACGAAAUAUUACUUUACUUCAAAAAUAAGCUUGCAAAGUUUUUGGCUCCCCAACAAUCAUUUAGGAAACAUCAUGGAGAAUCAUAAAAUUGAGGCACUGACUAAUUUCAUUUCAUGGCAGCUUUGAUGGGUUUUGCAUCUUGGAAACCAGAGGGAAUGUGGAUUUAGGAAAUGUAAAAUCAGCUUUAGUACAACAUAUUAACAAAGUCAUUACCCAGUCCUCUGGAAAUUCAAUUCCGGCUACAACAGAAAAUCAUUUCGGCCUCCAAAAGGACAAGCAUUCACAUGUCUAAAACUUCUGCGAUUGAUGACAUAAGCUGCAAACUAGUGCCCAUUCAAGCGGCCAGCUUCAAAAUCAUUGCAUGCUACAGAACUGGUGCUCACCCUUGUAGGUAUCCUAAGCAGGCACCAUCUCAGGCAAUGUCUCGAAUGGGAAGUCUUCAUACCCAGUGAUGCCGGUGAUCCUUAUCCGUGUGCGAGGCUGCAUAGGUUAUCCAAGAGUUAAUCAACUUGAACACCAGAAUGUCUAGCAUGUUUCAAAAUUAUGUUGGCACAAUGUACAAACAAUGAAGUUGUUUUUUGUGUCAGGAGAAAGCUCGAGUAUUAAUAAUGUUAAAUUGCUGUGAUCAGGAUGCCCAAGAAUACCUGUCGGUGGCCGAUCGUCCUUCGAUAGUUCUUUUUCUUCUUGAACUUGAAAACGAUAACUUUUUUAUCCAAACCCUAUGUUAAAAGAAAAGUUCCAAGUCAAGCAACUGAUUGCUUUUGAAGUUACAUCAACUGCUGGAAGAGGGCUACCUGUUCUUCAACUACUGCAUGCACUGCAGCAUUGGUUACAACUGGCUGCCCGAUAUAUGUCUUUGUCCUAGUUCCAACUAGCAAUACUUUGUUUAGGAUAAUCUGCAAAUAGAAUCAUCACACACGGUCAAAUGGGUAUAAUAUUAACUAGUUAUCAAGAGAAACAACUUUCAAUAAGAAUUGACAGAGCCUGAAAGACAGCAGAUUGAAUUUAAAGGGCUCUUGAAGUUAGUUUAUGGUAAAGAUAACAGAGCAAGCCAUAUAUUAGAUGGAGUUACGAUAACAGCUCACCUUUUAAGAAGUUUGAUUUGUCAAUAAUCUUGGCAACAACAUGGCAUGUCAUUUUACAAAUGAUAUUAAUAAUGCUCUGACACUUAAAUUUCAUCUAUUCAUUAUAGUUUGAGACUCUACAUACUUUAAAAAAUAAACACUUAGUUUUUGUACACCAAGUGUUCCCAUGAGAAAGUACCAAAGGGUUCAAAAGUUGAACUCUAUAGACACUCUGGCAUGAAAUGGCACUCUACUGGAGGGAGAUUCGGCCACUGUGAUCAGUUGAGUCCGAAAGCGCUCGAGUAGCUAUGGGAGAGUUCACCUCCUGCUCCGUAACAUUUGGGAUAUGGCGAGGGAGGUCACAUUACAGGCCAUGCAUGUAUAUCGUGAGGCCAACGGGGCGGCCGACUGGGUGGCGGCAUAUGUUGCGAGCCACUCAGGAGGCACCCUAUGGUCUGGAGAGAGAGAGUGCCCGGAGCACUUCGGGACCUUUUGUUUUCUGACUCUAUUAGGUGUAUUCGUACCCGUGUUGUAUAAAAUACCCGCUUUAGCAAAAAAAAAAAACAAAAACACUAUGGCAUGGCAAGUUUCCCAUGAGACUGAUUCUACAUAAGAGAUAAUACCUGUGCAAAACCAACACAUGAGAAGCAGAUAGAACGAAUACAUCUCCAUCCUAUCUCAUGGGGUAAAGUCAUGCAAGCAGCCUAUAAGUUCUAGGUUUUUCUCUUUUGGUUAAAGAUUCUACUGUAAAUUUUUUAUAGGUCAGAUACUGACACUAAAUCCUGAAACCUUACCCACAAUCCGAACAUAUCCUAGAUAAGAAAAAACCUAAUGCAUUUCCACAUGGUUGCAGCAUUUCUCCAUCCUCUUAAAGCAUCAUUUUGUCCAGCAGCUGUCAGCUCCUGUGAGGGAAAACACACACAAAUUGCUUGCUUUAAUUCCAAAAGGGAUCUUGUUUUGAGAUUAGAUUUCAAUUUAUAUCUAAAAGAGAUCAUCAAGUAAAAAUGCAAAUGGCCAGACGAACAACCUAAGACAACCAUAAACCACCUUCUCUCUCUGUGUGUGUGCGCGCGCGCGCGUGUAUGUUAAAUGUACUCCAUAAAUAAGGAAGGGAGAUAAAUUAGUAAGUAAGACCUGUUUCAUUGCAGAUGAAUCAGAAAAAAGAUAGCUCUGCCCCAUAUAUAACGUACGGUAACCAGCUGGACACCUUUAUCCAAUUUCCCAGCAUGAACUAGGGCAGGUCUCCUCUAAAUCAAAUAACAACUUGAAGUGAUGACUAGAUCCUAUCAACUUAAUGAAAAUAAAGUCUAACAUGGACAGCUAGCUUGUAGGAGACACCAUCUACUUCAAUAAAACCUAGUUAGACACAAACAUCAAAAUUCUUUUCCUCAAAAAUAGUUGCAGAUUUUCUUCUUGCUUCAAAAUGUGUCUCACCUCUUCUAGAUCCCAAAAUACUCACAUCCUAUUUGUCAAACUGAGUGCGAAGGCACAAAGUUCAGCCUCUACACUCCCUGCUCCUUUUACCAUAAAGUGAGUCAACCUGAUACCUUUAUUAUUAACAUAAACAAGUCCUGAAAUAUUCUGGCCAAUGAAGUAGCAUCUAUUGAUUCAGAAACCAGACUAAUCUAAUUACAUGACAAAACAAAUAAGCCUAGAAGACCUUCCAAAAUCAAACUAAAGCAGGAUAUUUUAACCCCCACUAAUGCACUGGGAGCAUAGCAACCUUGCCUUGUAUUUUUACUUCUUCCUCCUUUUAUCUUUGAUUUUUUAUUCUCUUUUUGAUCCACAAAGAAUCUCACCCAUGCAAGGUCAUACAAAGUCCCCAUCUUACCUUUCUUUCUUUUUUUUACAAUAAAAGAAACGGGUAACAUUCAACCAUACCUGUUAAACAUGGGAGUAAUACAUAAACAAUCUCCUUAACAACUGAUGUUAGAAGGCAAGGUUGUAAAAAUCUCUAAUAUUACAGAAAUUUUUUUAAAAAUAAAGAAAACGCAAAAUCAUGGUAAAUUUCAACUUUGUUACUGUGCCUAAUCCAAGAAUAUUUCACUAAUUCAUAUAAAAACAUCACGGGUGCCAUAUCUGCCACUCAUUAUGAUGCCUUCGAUGCGAUUCCAUGGUGAACAUACAAAACCUAAAAUUGAUCAUGCAAACUCAUGUUUGGAACCAACAUUUUGAGGCGAUUGACAUUGAAUCAAGCCUAUAAGAAAUACUCAUUCCCGAUUACCAAGAAGGCGUAGCUCUAACCUUAUCAUCGACAUUGGCUCCUUUCAACCUUUGGGUAUAGAUGAAUCUUCCAGGGAAAACAAUGUACUGCCUCGACCCAACCUGGCAACCAACAACAAGUAAGUUAAACAUACAUGCCCAAAUUACAUGAGAGAUUUUUCAAAAAAGAUUCAUACAAAGCUUCAAUUUUUGGCUCACCAUUAUGACCGCGAAGACGUCCUCACCCUUGGGGGUCGCAGCGGCGGCUAUCUGGGCCUCGACGGGCUCCGGCAUCGACGGCUCUUCGGGCUCCUCCGGCGAUCCUUCGGGAGCCGCCGACAAUUUCCAUUUCCGGGAGAACAAAGUGGAAGGAGAGACCAGGGGAGGAGCGGAGAGGAGAGGGGCUGGGGAAGUCGAGGAGCGGUCGACGGAGACGGAGAAGGGUCGGGCUUUCCUGUGGAGGAAAGCGAGGGUGGGGCCUCGAUUGGGGGGAGAGAGAGUGGCUGCAGCGGAGGACGGGGAGAGGGCGGCGGCGCACGCACUGGAAGCCAUCACUCGCUUCCCUUCGUGGUGGCGCUGGGGAUAAGGGUCGGGGUUACAUCAUCUUAUCCAAUUUAUAAUUGCUUUAUUCUGCGGCAGCAAAUACUAAUUAUAAUAUUAUAUAUAUACUUGUUUAUAUAUUAAAAUUUAUAUAAAUGUUUUUUUAAAAAAAUAAUAUGUAUAUUUUUAUAAAAUACAUUUUUGUAUAUAUUUUUUUUUUUCUUCUCACCAACACCAUCUAAUACGUUAGUUUAAAAUUAAAAUGACUAAAAUACUCUUAAAAGGUAGACAUAUAAAAAGAAACAUUUAUAAAUAUAUACAUGCAAAUAGUAAUUUUGUAAAGAUAUUCAUGCAAUUUUACAUAUUUAAUAGGAUUUGCAUGUAACAAAUUUUAAUUUUAAUUUUAUUUAUUUCAACUUGUUUUAACACUAAGAUUAGUCUAGUGCUUCCUCGUCAAUGAUUUCUAUGAAAAUAUUGUUCAUUAAAAAGAUAGAUUCAACGAUUAAAAUAAAAAAAGAGUUACGAAAGUUUUUUCACUAAUUAUAUAUUUAUUCUUCUUUAUUCUCCAUUUAUAACAAAUCACUAAAUCUUACUUGACCAUAAACUUGCUUGUAAUACUUAUUAUUAUAGAUGCAUAUAUAAGGAUAUGUAUCAAAAUAUAGAAAAGGAUUAGAAUCUUUUAAAGGCACACAAUAGUUUGCAAUGUUCAAACUUUCUCGUUACUGCUAUGCUUAUGGGUGAAAGAACAACAUUAAUUGUUCUGAACAAAAUCAUUAAAGGACUUCAAAACCCUUUUGACUUAUUAAUAAUCUCCGCAAUCAUGUGAUAGAAGAUCACCCCUUCAUUUUUUUUAGAGCUUUGAUUUUUUGAAAAAAGAAAAUAUCUAGUAUAUAGAACUCAUCCUGUCACAAUUUUAAAUUGGCCACCAACCUGCACAUGAAAAAUUUUCUAGCCUUAAAAAAUAAACAUUGCAAAUUCCAUACACUAAAAAAUAAAUAUUGCAAAUCUUUCACAAUACUUUUUUAAAAAUAAUCCAUAAAGCUGAUAGCGGGACUUGAUCAACUUCACGUGAAAAAGGAUACAAUGAAAGAAGAAUUUCAGUGGCAAUAAGAGGGACUCAAAUUCCGAUAACAAGAACUCUGGGGAGCGGAAGAGAGAGAAGGGCUACCUAUGGUGGAGAAGGAAGUCGAGGGAAUGGUUUUAAUUCUAGACGUAGAAGUGAAAGAGAGGAAUUGAGAAAGAUUGGAAAAUUUUUCAAAGAAGGUAGAGA